CAACCAUCAAGCCCUAGGCUUGUGUUGGGGCACUGCGGCUGCCGCAGGCCCCUAAAAGCAGUGGCGGACUCGCUGUCAUACCGAGCGCAGUAGCAUAUCUCGCUCAGGGCGUGGCGGCGGGCACCGGCCGUAAAACAACUAAAACUUAA
This 149-nucleotide unclassified non-coding RNA is filed under the name uncultured Arnium. RNAcentral describes it as "sequence contains ITS2". The record is from RNAcentral. Lineage: Eukaryota; Fungi; Ascomycota; Sordariomycetes; Sordariales; Lasiosphaeriaceae.